This 271-nucleotide ribosomal RNA is filed under the name uncultured bacterium. RNAcentral describes it as "partial 16S ribosomal RNA". It matches the Rfam family "Bacterial small subunit ribosomal RNA", at positions 88 to 354 of the family's 1533-position model. The record is from RNAcentral.
CCGGCGACCGGCGCACGGGUGAGUAACACGUAUGCAACCUGCCCUCCGCAGGGGGAUAACCCGGAGAAAUCCGGACUAAUACCGCGUGGUACAUCUGUGGGGCAUCCCACGGGUGUUAAAAGGAAGCGGUUCCGGCGGAGGAUGGGCAUGCGGCGCAUUAGCUAGUUGGCGGGGUAACGGCCCACCAAGGCGACGAUGCGUAGGGGUUCUGAGAGGAAGGUCCCCCACACUGGUACUGAGACACGGACCAGACUCCUACGGAAGGCAGCAG